RNAcentral lists this ribosomal RNA (253 nucleotides) under uncultured microorganism. RNAcentral describes it as "partial 16S ribosomal RNA". It matches the Rfam family "Bacterial small subunit ribosomal RNA", at positions 524 to 776 of the family's 1533-position model. The record is from RNAcentral.
UACGGAGGGUGCGAGCGUUAAUCGGAUUUACUGGGCGUAAAGCGUGCGCAGGCGGCCCGUUAAGACAGGUGUGAAAUCCCUGGGCUCAACCUAGGAAUUGCGCUUGUGACUGGCGGGCUCGAGUACGGUAGAGGGGGGUGGAAUUCCUGGUGUAGCAGUGAAAUGCGUAGAGAUCAGGAGGAACACCGGUGGCGAAGGCAGCCCCCUGGGCCUGUACUGACGCUCAUGCACGAAAGCGUGGGGAGCAAACAGG